This 987-nucleotide long non-coding RNA is filed under the name Oryza sativa tropical japonica subgroup. RNAcentral's name for it is "lncRNA OsCMeo_03g0039210". Lineage: Eukaryota; Viridiplantae; Streptophyta; Magnoliopsida; Poales; Poaceae. The record is from RNAcentral.
GUUUACUGUUCUUCUUCGAUCGAUUAUCCCUCGCCAUGUCAACGGCGGCGCUGGUGGCGUGGCUCGCCCGCGACGUAUCGGCCGCGCGAGCCGCCGCCCACUUAGCCGCGGCCGCCGCAUCUCGUGCCGCGCGCUCCUCGGCGGUCGCGUCUCGUCCUUGUGCACGCUCGGCGGCCGUCGCAGCACGUCGCGCAGCACGCCAAGCCGCCGUCGCCGCAUCUCGCGCCGCACACGCGGUAUGUUACCUCGACGACUACGAGCCAUCAGGUGCCUUUUUGACGGAUUUUGAUGAGUCUGGUGACGAUUUUACGGACAAGGAUUUUGAGUCUGAUGAAGCUAUAUGGGCCUUGUAUGAGCGCUGGUGCAAGGCUUACGAUAAGAAGCGUGACCUUGCUGAGAUGACUCACCGGUUCAAGAUAUUCAAGCAAAAUGCAGAGGCUCUUCACAGAUCCAACGAGGGUGCUUCAAAAUAUGAGAAAAUAUAUUGUGGCCCAUACUGCGAUGGGUUCGAUGAGCAAGAGAGGGCUGAAGCUCUGCUUAAGUUUCGCCAUUUUCCCAGAGUUUGCGAAUAUAUAGAGUCGUUGGAGAUCGUCUUCCCAAAGUCGCGGGAGGUUGACUCCCCAAAUCAAUCCCCAUGAAUCACCUUUGAUCCCAAAACUGUAGACCAUCGUCAAAAAAAUGCCAUUGCUCAAAUGCCACUCUCAAAUUUUCAUUCUCAAAUAUCACCCACAUGUCAGUCUCUUUUUCCAUUUAAACAAAAGUGAUGUGAGACCAAAUGAUGUGCAAGGCUGACAUAUGGGUCUAAAUGACAUUUGGGAAUGAAAUUUUGGGAGAGUGGCAUUUGAAUACUGGUAAUUUGGGAGGAUGAAAAGAAAAGUAAAUUAUUCCCCUUAUGUGUAACAGCUUAUUUGUGUACUAAGCUUUGCCCUGGAAAACCGCAAUAAAUUAUAUUGCAUAAUAAAUUAUACUGUGUAGUUCAUGUUAACU